RNAcentral lists this ribosomal RNA (253 nucleotides) under uncultured bacterium. RNAcentral's name for it is "partial 16S ribosomal RNA". It matches the Rfam family "Bacterial small subunit ribosomal RNA", at positions 524 to 776 of the family's 1533-position model. The record is from RNAcentral.
UACGUAGGGGGCAAGCGUUGUCCGGAUUUAUUGGGCGUAAAGAGCGUGUAGGCGGCUAGGUAGGUCCGCUGUGAAAACUCGAGGCUCAACCUCGAGAGGUCGGUGGAAACCAUCUAGCUAGAGUCCGGAAGAGGAGAAUGGAAUUCCUGGUGUAGCGGUGAAAUGCGCAGAUAUCAGGAAGAACACCCGUGGCGAAGGCGGUUCUCUGGGACGGUACUGACGCUGAGACGCGAAAGCGUGGGGAGCGAACAGG